Molecule: unclassified non-coding RNA, 2416 nt
Filed under: Daphnia magna
Lineage: Eukaryota; Metazoa; Arthropoda; Branchiopoda; Diplostraca; Daphniidae
Description: beta-1,3-galactosyltransferase 5, transcript variant X13
Source: RNAcentral
UUAUUCGGUUAUUCAGUAUUAUUCAGGCGGUGGUGGGUGUCUGAAUGGGAGAGAAAAUGUAUUUCUAAUUCCAACUCGCGCAGGGGAGCUUGUACGUGAAGUAGGAUAUUAUUGUAGAAGGAUUUGAUUUUAAACAAACAAUAUUUUGGCCUAUUGCUAGAAAGCGAAUUAUUACUAAACAGCAUUUGAGUGAUACAGUCCCUAUCAACAGUAGUGUGCUACAUUACAUCAGACCCUGAGAUAACAUUCUAAUUUGAAGUUCUGGAAUGUUAUGCUCUUCAUACUGAUCUGUGCAAUGAAUUCAUGUAAACAAGAUCACAAGUGGAAAUCAAUUCCACAUUCUUCAGCUUCCCAGGCAGACACCUCUCCACAAAGUCAUGUAGUCAGAGUCCAAUGUGUGGAAUCUGAUAUUCUAGCCCUCGCAAUCCCAGCUGCCCUUUGCUUCAACAAGGAUCCCAAAUCAAGUCUACCCAGCGGAUGCCCCAUUAUACGUCCAAGCAAUCGUUACUUGCGGUCUUUCAGUGCCGGGAAUUUGUUAUGCAUGUAAUUACUCAACAAGGAAUUAGUUUUUUUCUGUUAAGGUGGAGAGAAGAAAUGUUCGCUUGGAGAAUCGGCAAAUGGUAUUACUGUUUACUACCCAUGGUGAGAGGGUAGACAAGAUUGCAGAAGGGUUGCGUUGGGUCGCAAAAUAUUCGCGCCAUAUUAUUUCCGCUAUUGCUGCUUGAAGUUCAGUUCCAUGAUUUGACUGAAAAUGGACGAAAAAUGUUACAUAACUUCUUGUUCGACAUCUGUGGAUUGCAGGGCACGUGCAUUGGCCAGUGUCGUAGUAUCAUACGACACCAGCCCCCCCUCUCAAAUUAAUUCAAUCGAAGGGGCUGUUGCAGUGGCAGUCGACAGUAGUAUAGUUCAUGAAAAAUUGCGAUUUUGAUCAAAUCCGACUUUUGGCUAAAAACACGUCAUUUCAACCGCAAAUUUGAUAAGGAUCGCUAAAAUCCUACUCGUUUUGUUAUGGGAUCACUAUUUCCGGAGAUGUUGGCUACUUCCGGAAUUUUUUCAUGGCAGUCUGCAAAAAGUAAAAAAUAAGCUGUAAUAUCCUAAUAAUUUUAAGUAAUUUUAUGGUGUGUGCUUCGGUGUAGCGCUUUUUUCCCCUAUUUUUGCCGCUAUAUACAGUAGUAGUUGCUUUUCGACGGCUACGAAAUGUUAAACGGUAUUCUGAUACUAUAAUUUAAUUUUCUUUUGUAUUGCGCAAAAAGGUCAAAAUAAUAGUCUGAAAGCAGUGAAGUUACUUGCACUUACGAGCAAGACUUAUGCUCCAAUUAAUAGUUUUAUUUUAUUUUUUAAAAUUUGGGUUACAGCAUGGCUUACAGGUAGGAAAACUAGAUGACGCUGCUGUGCUCAUACAUGAUUGAUCACCUGUAACGAGAAAAUCGGUGUUUGACUGUUUGUAGUGUCUUCAAAAUGUUUCUUAACUGUGUUGUUUUUAUUGGAUUCUUCAUUAGAAAAUCAUGGAUUUCCCUUGUUCUCAGCUAUUGAAGCUGCAGGUCUGAAAACAGUCAGCUUCCUGAGUUCCACUUUUCCAUUAAGCUAUUAUCACUGCGUAAAACUGCAAGUUAUUUCAGCCUACUAAAUUACACGAUCUUUGAUGGAGAUCAUCCUAAUGGAACUAAAUGCAUCAGUGAUUCGGACACUGAAGGAAGGUGCAAAAUUGUCAUUCAACCAUGGGAUUACAAAUAGUAUAUUUAUUUGUCAUACACCUUUGUGAUAUAAUUUUCCCUUUUAGAACUUUGAAAUCUUUAAUCUUGUGUUUUUGGAUUCAAUUCCGACAUGAGUAAGCUAAUAUUCUUAAGCAUCUGCAGAUGUAAUUGUUACCAUUCGCGUGUGUAAAGAAAUAAUAUUUUUUCAUCUAACUUGAAAUAUAUUUACAUGAUGGUUACAAGUAUCCAAGUAUUGCCUCCAGAUGACAUCGAGAUACAGUUCAUGUCUAAACGUAAUUCAUGGCUUCCUGGUAGAGCAUCAGCGUCGUAUGCUGAACGUCUUAGGUUCAAUACUCGACAAGGUAUAAAUUAAAGAAAUAAUAGUUAUUCAUCUACUAUGAAAUACUUUUGCAUACUUGUUACAAGUGUCAUAGUUUCCUCCAGAUGACAUCGAGUUACAUUUCAUGAUUAUAUGUAAUGCAUGGCUCCGUGGUAGAGCACCAGUGCCAUGCGGUGAAAGUUCAAGGUUCCAUUCCCGAUAAGGGAUUAAUCAGAGAAAUGACAUCGAGAUACAGUUCAUAUUUUAACGUAGUUCAUGGCUACGUGGUAGAGCAUCAGCUUGGAAUGCUAAAGGUUUAGGGUUCGAUUCCCAACUAAAGAUAACUUAAAAAAUAAAUCGAAAUAAUGUAAGCAAAUUUGUCAUGUGUGGAAGCAUUUCGAAC